UACAAAGAUGGUUUCUUGCCGUAUUAUAAUUCCUGCGCAUCCAUGAAGAUUCGAUUUCGCGGCCCCAUAGACUUACGA
RNAcentral lists this unclassified non-coding RNA (78 nucleotides) under synthetic construct. The record is from RNAcentral.